RNAcentral lists this unclassified non-coding RNA (350 nucleotides) under soil metagenome. RNAcentral describes it as "partial contains 5.8S ribosomal RNA, internal transcribed spacer 2, and large subunit ribosomal RNA". The stretch from base 1 to 119 matches the Rfam family "5.8S ribosomal RNA", at positions 35 to 154 of the family's 154-position model. The record is from RNAcentral.
GAUGAAGAACGUAGCGAAAUGCGAUACGUAAUGUGAAUUGCAAAUUCAGUGAAUCAUCGAGUCUUUGAACGCACAUUGCGCCCCCUGGUAUUCCGGGGGGCAUGCCUGUCCGAGCGUCAUUGCUGCCCAUCAAGCACGGCUUGUGUGUUGGGUCGUCGUCCCCUCUCCGGGGGGGACGGGCCCCAAAGGCAGCGGCGGCACCGCGUCCGAUCCUCGAGCGUAUGGGGCUUUGUCACCCGCUCUGUAGGCCCGGCCGGCGCUUGCCGAACGCAAAACAACCAUUUUUUCCAGGUUGACCUCGGAUCAGGUAGGGAUACCCGCUGAACUUAAGCAUAUCAAUAAGCGGAGGA